RNAcentral lists this ribosomal RNA (587 nucleotides) under uncultured Nitrosomonas sp. RNAcentral describes it as "bacterial SSU rRNA". It matches the Rfam family "Bacterial small subunit ribosomal RNA", at positions 338 to 916 of the family's 1533-position model. The record is from RNAcentral. Lineage: Bacteria; Pseudomonadati; Pseudomonadota; Betaproteobacteria; Nitrosomonadales; Nitrosomonadaceae.
CCUACGGGAGGCAGCAGUGGGGAAUUUUGGACAAUGGGCGAAAGCCUGAUCCAGCCAUGCCGCGUGAGUGAAGAAGGCCUUCGGGUUGUAAAGCUCUUUUAGUCGGAAAGAAAGAGUUGCAAUGAAUAAUUGUGAUUUAUGACGGUACCGACAGAAAAAGCACCGGCUAACUACGUGCCAGCAGCCGCGGUAAUACGUAGGGUGCGAGCGUUAAUCGGAAUUACUGGGCGUAAAGGGUGCGCAGGCGGUCUUGCAAGUCAGAUGUGAAAGCCCCGGGCUUAGCCUGGGAAUUGCGUUUGAAACUACAAGGCUAGAGUGCAGCAGAGGGGAGUGGAAUUCCAUGUGUAGCAGUGAAAUGCGUAGAGAUGUGGAAGAACACCGAUGGCGAAGGCAGCUCCCUGGGUUGACACUGACGCUCAUGCACGAAAGCGUGGGGAGCAAACAGGAUUAGAUACCCUGGUAGUCCACGCCCUAAACGAUGUCAACUAGUUGUCGGAUCUAAUUAAGGAUUUGGUAACGUAGCUAACGCGUGAAGUUGACCGCCUGGGGAGUACGGUCGCAAGAUUAAAACUCAAAGGAAUUGACGG